GUAGUGGAUAGCUCGGUUCGAGAAGCCGAAGAAGGACGUGGCAAGCUGCGAUAAGCUUGGGCGAGACGCAUGCAGUCAUCGAGCCCAAGAUUUCCUAAUGUGACUUCAUAGGUCGUUUCGGCGACCUGCUCCACACGGAGCGGGAACGCGGUGAACUGAAACAUCUCAGUAGCCGCAGGAGAAAAAAUCAACGGAGAUCCCCUUAUUAGCGGCGAGCGAAAGGGGGACAGCGCAAACUGAAGCCGCAUCUGAGAGGAUGCUGGCAAUGUGGUUCGGCCGUCCGUAGGAACCUAUUGGUUCAGUCGAACUCUGCUGGAAAGCAGGGCCAUAGAGAGUGAUAGCCUCGUAGACGAUUGCCAAAACGUUCUGGGACGUGCCAAGAGUAGCAUGGGUUGGAAAUCCUGUGCGAAUUUGGGAGGCACUACUUUCUUCCAACGCUAAAUACUUCUCGAGUCCGAUAGCGUACUAAGUACUGUGAAGGAAAGCUGAAAAGUACCCCUAGAAAGGGGGUUCAAAGAGCUUGAAACUAUCUAGUAAUAGGCUAGGUACAGCAUGUAAGCGUCGAUGGCUGUGAAAGAAUCCUUCCGAGAGGAGGUAGUAUGAAUCAGCCGGAGCAGUGUUGUACCAUCCGUUUUGAAAAACGGGGCAGAGAGUUUUCCGUCGUGGCGAGGCUAACCACCGAUUCGGUGGGGAGUCACAGCGAAAGCAAGAAGCCCGCAGCAGUCCUUUUGGACUGUCAGGGGCCGCGUGUUAACUCGCGUGAAGUCACCGCGGAAUGAUCCGAAACCGGUCGAUCCUGGCCUGGCUAGGGUGAAGCGGCGCGAAAGCUCCGUGGAGGCCCACACCGGUGCUGUGUUACAAGCGCUCGGAUGAGCUGGGUCAAGGGGUGAAAUGUCAAUCGAGAUCGGUGAUGGCUGGUUCUUCUCGAAAUGGAUCGAAGUCCAGCCUCAGUGGAGGUUGUUGUACAGGUAAAGCGACUGAUUUUGGGUACCUGAGCUCGCGCUCAGGCCCGAAGUCAAACUCUGAACUGUGCAACGCCGUAGAUACUGGGAGUGAGGGCUGGUGGGUAAGCUACCAGUCCGAGAGGGAAACAACCCAGAGUAAGGUUAAGGCCCCUCAAUUCCUGACUAAGUGUCAUCGAGGAUGUCCCGGUUCUCAGACAGCGAGGAGGUUAGCUUAGAAGCAGCUACCCUUUAAAGAUAGCGUAACAGCUCACUCGUUGAGGACCGGGGCGCCGUAAAUGGACGGGGCUCAAGUCAGGAGCCGAGACCUUACCAUUGUUUUCAACAGUGGGUAGAGAAGCGAUCCGCAUGGGCGGAAGCAUGGACGUGAGUUCGUGUGGACCGUGUGGAUAUGAAGAUUCUGCCGGCAGUAUCAGCAUUAAGAUAGGUGCGAAUCCUAUCGGCCGAAAGGAUAAGGGUUCCUCUGCAAUGUUCAUCAGCAGAGGGUUAGUCGGUCCUAAGCCAGUCCGUAAUUCGAGACUGGCGAAUAGGGAAUCAGGUUAAUAUUCCUGAACCUCCUUACAUUAAUCGACGUCUUGGGAUAUCGGAGGCUGCGUUUUCGCGCAGUCCAAGCAGUUAAUGCAUGCGAGCGUAAUGCAUCGACCAUGUGAAGCUGUGAUGGGUCUGGGAAUAAUCCCGGAUCUCCGCGAGUCCUGGGACUCUUAAAAAGAUGUAAGAGUCCGUACCCAGAACCAGCACAGGUAUCCAGGCUGAGUAAGCUAAGGCCCUCGGGUAUAACGCGAUUUAGGGAAUUCGGCAAGUUAGCCCCGUACGUUCGCAAUAUGGGGUGCCUAUCCUCUCGCUAGGAUAGGUUGCAAUUACCAGAGAAGCUCGACUGUUUACUAAAAACAUAGCCGACUGCUAGUCCGAAAGGAUUUGUAUAGUCGGCGACUCUUGCCCAGUGCCAGUACCUGAACACUCCGUACAAGGAGACGAAGGGCUGGUAAACGGCGGCGGUAACUAUGACCGUCUUAAGGUAGCGUAGUCCCUUGCCAAUUAAUUGUUGGCCCGCAUCAAUAGAGUAACGAGGCUUCUACUGUCCCAAAUCGUGGCCCGGUGAACCCGCCGUACCGGCGCAUAGGCCGGUGACUCCCAGUGGGAAGCGAAGACCCUGUGAACCUUUACUGCAGUCUAACGUUGCGGUGGGGUUCCAAGUGUGAAGUGUAGGUAGGAGGCAUUACAGAGGUGCGUGCGCUAGCACGUCGCCCAGCCGAUCAUGGGACACUACCCUCCUGGAACCCCGCUGCUUACUUCUACGGAAGGACAGCGUUAGCUGGGCAGUUUAACUGGGGCGGUAUCCCUCUGAUAACGAAUCAGAGGGGUCCAAAGGUAGGCUCAACUCGGUCAGAAAUCGAGUGUAGAGUACAAGAGCAAAAGCCUGCCUGACUGGUUCCUCUACAGCACGAGAACUAGGCGCGAAAGCGUGGUCUAGCGAACGCCUACAGCCAAGUAGUGAGGCUUAGGCCUGACGGAAAAGGUACUCCAGGGAUAACUGGAUUGUCUGAGGCGCGAGCUCACAUCGACCCUCAGGCUUGUUACUUCGAUGUCGGCUCUCCGUAUCCUGGCUGUGCAACAGCAGCCAAGGGUGGGGGUGUUCACCCAUUAAAACGGAUCGUGAGCUGGGUUUAGAUCGGCGUGAGCCAGAUCUGUUGCUAUCUGCUGGGAGUGUUUAGUGGUCUGAGAGGAAAGUUCGGACAGUACGAAAGGAACCCCGAACUGAGGCCUCUGGUGUAUCUGUCAUCCGAGAGGGUGUUGCAGAGUAGCUAUGCCUCGAGGUGUAAAAGCUGAAAGCAUCUAAGCUUGAAAGCCACCUCAAAAAGAGACCGCUUCCACUCUCGCA
RNAcentral lists this ribosomal RNA (2841 nucleotides) under Candidatus Nanohaloarchaea archaeon. RNAcentral's name for it is "Nanohaloarchaea archaeon 23S ribosomal RNA". It matches the Rfam family "Archaeal large subunit ribosomal RNA". Lineage: Archaea; Methanobacteriati; Methanobacteriota; Candidatus Nanohaloarchaea. The record is from RNAcentral.